CAUUAUCAUGGUUGAUCAAGACCAAUUCAAGUUAACCGGCCGGGCAGCCAUUGACGGCGUCUGUGCACUGUGCCGUUCGCGACUAUAGUAGAUAGCAAAGGCUUGGCGGAGUCUCUGAGGCAGUUGACGGCGAAGAGAUGCGGCGAGGCAGCCAAUGGCAUUGUCUGUGGCGGCCAUUGACGACGAAGAGAGUGAGGGUGCGUCGGAGGAAAUGCGGCCAAUCAUCUCUCCACAUGCCGGAUGGGUUCGAGAAGAAGGUUAAAGAAAGGGGAAUGGUGGGUAGGGGCGGUGAUGCCAACUUCGGCACAUCGCAGACCGACCGUACUGGAAGGAGGGGCGGAGGCGCUGAAUUGAGGCUGGAGUGCUGCGCAUCACAAACCGGAAUGGGGCGUCUCCAACUUGAAGCCGGAGUAUGACGAAUUGCGGCAGCGAGGGGAGAGUCGGAUGUGAGACUGGGGGAAGGGGAAUUGGGAGAGAGAAGGAGAGCCGCGUGGAGACGAAAGGGAAAUGAUAAUGGAAUUUGGGAAUUAGGAGUGAGAAAUU
RNAcentral lists this long non-coding RNA (543 nucleotides) under Salvia miltiorrhiza (redroot sage). Its description in RNAcentral is "long non-coding RNA (SMIL_LNC014170)". Lineage: Eukaryota; Viridiplantae; Streptophyta; Magnoliopsida; Lamiales; Lamiaceae. The record is from RNAcentral.